Molecule: non-coding RNA, 207 nt
Organism: Pelobates cultripes (western spadefoot toad)
Lineage: Eukaryota; Metazoa; Chordata; Amphibia; Anura; Pelobatidae
Source: the annotation of a GenBank genome assembly
CCACUAGAGGUGUUACUAGGCAGUGAUGUACACACUGCAUCGUCUCUGAAAGGGAUUAAAAUGCCUGUAGGAGAUGUUGUUGACAGUAGUGUCCCUCUAAGGCCAGAAUAGCUAAGCUGAAAGUAUAGCCCAGUGGUUCCCAAACUUUUUAGGUUUAAAAGGGACAAUGUAGGCACCCAGACCACUUCAGCCCAUUGAAGGGGUCUG